This 312-nucleotide small RNA is filed under the name Arabidopsis thaliana (thale cress). Its description in RNAcentral is "ATSL167530". The record is from RNAcentral. Lineage: Eukaryota; Viridiplantae; Streptophyta; Magnoliopsida; Brassicales; Brassicaceae.
UCAAAUAACAAGUACUUAUGGUGGGCAUACCUAUUAUCUAAUAUCAAGUUCUAGGUGAUCAAUCUAAGAAUAAUCAAGAUGAAGAACUCUAAGAAUAAUUCUAAGGGGUUUUCGAUCUACUAAUCCAUCUAAAUCCCUAUUAAGACACCUUAAACCCAACAAGGUGAUUACUGAGACAUGAUAACAGAAACACAAAUCAUAAUCUGAAUAGAUUGCAUUGAUGAAUUAAGAAUAAGAGUAAAAGGAGUUCAAAAUCAUCUCUCUGCAUGGAUUGGAUUCUUCUCUCCAAAAUAAAACAAAGCUGAGGUCUUA